GAUGAACGCUGGCGGCGUGCCUAACACAUGCAAGUCGAGCGAUUCUCUUCGGAGAAGAGCGGCGGACGGGUGAGUAACGCGUGGGUAACCUGCCCUGUACACACGGAUAGCAUACCGAAAGGUAUGCUAAUACGAGAUGAUAUGCUUUUAUCGCAUGGUAGAAGUAUCAAAGCUUUUGCGGUACAGGAUGGACCCGCGUCUGAUUAGCUAGUUGGUAAGGUAACGGCUUACCAAGGCGACGAUCAGUAGCCGACCUGAGAGGGUGAUCGGCCACAUUGGAACUGAGACACGGUCCAAACUCCUACGGGAGGCAGCAGUGGGGAAUAUUGCACAAUGGGCGAAAGCCUGAUGCAGCAACGCCGCGUGAGCGAUGAAGGCCUUCGGGUCGUAAAGCUCUGUCCUCAAGGAAGAUAAUGACGGUACUUGAGGAGGAAGCCCCGGCUAACUACGUGCCAGCCGCCGCGGUAA
Molecule: ribosomal RNA, 468 nt
Filed under: uncultured bacterium
Lineage: Bacteria
Description: partial 16S ribosomal RNA
Rfam family: Bacterial small subunit ribosomal RNA
Source: RNAcentral